GAUGAACGCUAGCGGCAGGCCUAACACAUGCAAGUCGAGGGAGAAGCCCUUUCGGGGGCAGAAACCGGCGCACGGGAGCGUAACGCGUAUGCAACCUACCUUUCACCGGGGGAUAGCCCGAAGAAAUUUGGAUUAAUACCCAAUCAUAUUAUUGGAUGGCAUCAUUUGAUAAUUAAAACUGCGGUGGUGAAAGAUGGGCAUGCGUCCUAUUAGCUAGUUGGAGUGGUAACGGCACCCCAAGGCUACGAUAGGUAGGGGUCCUGAGAGGGAGAGCCCCCACACUGGUACUGGGACAGUGACCAGACUCCUACGGGAGGCAGCAGUGCGGGAUAUUGGUCAAUGGUCGGAAGACUGAACCAGCCAUGCCGCGUGCAGGAAGAAUGCCUUAUGGGUUGUAAACUGCUUUUAUAUGGGAAGAAUAAGGCGUACGUGUACGUUGAUGACGGUACCAUAUGAAUAAGCAUCGGCUAACUCCGUG
This 478-nucleotide ribosomal RNA is filed under the name uncultured bacterium. RNAcentral describes it as "partial 16S ribosomal RNA". It matches the Rfam family "Bacterial small subunit ribosomal RNA", at positions 28 to 507 of the family's 1533-position model. The record is from RNAcentral.